AACGAACGCUGGCGGCAUGCCUAAUACAUGCAAGUCGAACGCGCACUUCAGGCCUAGUCGUGCACGAGCAUGUACCGCGUGGUAACCUGCGGUUAGGAUCGGAAUAGUUCCCUGCCUGGGGUCCUAAUACCGGUAAAUGUCUCCGGACCUAAGAUGUAUCACCUUUAGUUGGGGCAGCGUUGUUAUAUGUAAUUGGCAACGUAACCGCCUACCAAGGCGCCGACCCAUAGCUGGCUUGAGAGGAUGAUCAGCCACACUGGGACUGAGACACGGACCCGACUCCUACGGGAGGCAGCAGGGGUGAAUAUUGGACGAUGGGCGAGAGCCUGAGCCAGCAAGGCCGUGUGAGUGAUGAAGGACUGAGGGUUGUAAAGCUCUUUUAACCGGGAUGAUAAUGACAGUACCGGGAGAAUAAGCGCCGGCUAACUCCGUG
RNAcentral lists this ribosomal RNA (433 nucleotides) under uncultured bacterium. Its description in RNAcentral is "partial 16S ribosomal RNA". It matches the Rfam family "Bacterial small subunit ribosomal RNA", at positions 29 to 507 of the family's 1533-position model. The record is from RNAcentral.